Long non-coding RNA from Polypterus senegalus (gray bichir), 574 nucleotides. RefSeq lists it as uncharacterized. The record is from RefSeq and is a predicted model, not a curated record. NCBI's taxonomy places the organism in Eukaryota, Metazoa, Chordata, Cladistia, Polypteriformes, Polypteridae. The transcript is spliced from 3 exons.
UCUUCAGGAGUAACUACCUCUGUGCUUUUGCUGAAAAUCGUCUCCCAGGAUGUACUAUUGUCACAAAAAAUAGAAAAACAUGAAUGUUUUAUUCAUAUCCAGAAAAUGUUAUAUAUGACAUCUCAAAAAGAUUCUGGAUACAAUCUCAGGAACGAGAAAUCUGUGAACACUGCUCCCAAGCAUUCUUCUUCAGCCUCUAUACUGGACUUCCAGGAAUAAGGUCCUCAUGUUGGCAAUUAAUUCUUUUCUGUGAAUUUUGGUAUGCCGCUGUUUUUCCCAUUCAGAAGAACCUGCUGACAGCCUCUUCAUUGAACCUUGUCCAUAAAGCCUUUUUUGUGCUUCGGCCUUUUGCUGAGCAAGAUUUCUCUUUUUGUCGCUUGACCUAAAAAUUCAAGAAAAGAAUGAAAUUGUAAUCAAAUAUUCAAAGAUAUUUUGCUUUAAGAAUACAUAGGAAGAACAAAAUUCAUUACUCUCUACAAAUAUAAAUGUUUACAUACUUAAUUCUUCAGUAGUAAAAAUAUUGUCUAAUCAUUUUAGGCCUCCUCUGAACACCUCCAUUAAAUAUAUUCUUAAU